Molecule: non-coding RNA, 633 nt
Organism: Microcebus murinus (gray mouse lemur)
Lineage: Eukaryota; Metazoa; Chordata; Mammalia; Primates; Cheirogaleidae
Source: RefSeq, a predicted model, not a curated record
UAAACACAGAAGACAGGUGCCAGGCUCUGUAGAGAAAAUAUGGCUAUCUUAUUUUAAAUUUUUUUGCCACUACUUGACUUAUAAGUUUCAGAUUCAUUUGUGUAUCUCAGAGAUUCUACAAUGAUAUUUGACCUCAACCUUGGCUUCAACCAAAUGUUGAUUUCAAUAUUCAGCCAUUGGACAUUUGGCCUAUAUCCAGCCCCCAGGUCAUCAAAAACUAGGAUUCACUUUGAAGUUCUAACCUCUUUGGACCACAAUAAAUAACUCCUGGCUCAGAUUCACUCUGCCAGGGACCCAUUGGAGUUCCAUUCUGCUUAAAGGACAUGGCCCUAUUAAACAUAAGGUGGGUUAUCUCUAGGUUGGAGGCCUGAAAAGGCUUUCGCAGAACUAUUUAAAGGCAGCAACACAUAUCCUUUGAUGUAGCUAUCUCACUUCUGGGAGUUUAUCUUUAAAAACCAUUGUGGAUAUAUGUGGAGCAAAGGUAUACACUUCAAAAUGUUUCAAAGUGUUGUUUAUAUUAGCAAAAAUGUUGAAGCAUGCAUGUACAAAAGUAGAGGAGCAAUAAACUAUGCCAUAUCCUAAUAGUGAAACACUAAUAAUCAUUAUAAAUAACUGUCAGUUAAUUUGUUAAGU